GAGUUUGAUCCUGGCUCAGAACGAACGCUGGCGGCAGGCUUAACACAUGCAAGUCGAACGCCCCGCAAGGGGAGUGGCAGACGGGUGAGUAACACGUGGGAACGUGCCCUAAGGUUUGGAAUAUUCCCGGGAAACUGGGAGCAAUACCAAAUGUGUCCGCAAGGAGAAAGAUUUAUCGCCUUAGGAUCGGCCCGCGUCAGAUUAGGUAGUUGGUGGGGUAAUGGCCUACCAAGCCGACGAUCUGUAGCUGGUCUGAGAGGACGACCAGCCACACUGGGACUGAGACACGGCCCAGACUCCUACGGGAGGCAGCAGUGGGGAAUCUUGGACAAUGGGCGCAAGCCUGAUCCAGCCAUGCCGCGUGGAUGAUGAAGGCCCUAGGGUUGUAAAAUCCUUUCGUUUGGGGACGAUAAUGACGGUACCCAAAGAAGAAGCUCCGGCUAACUUCGUGCC
RNAcentral lists this ribosomal RNA (453 nucleotides) under uncultured Alphaproteobacteria bacterium. Its description in RNAcentral is "bacterial SSU rRNA". It matches the Rfam family "Bacterial small subunit ribosomal RNA", at positions 9 to 509 of the family's 1533-position model. The record is from RNAcentral. Lineage: Bacteria; Pseudomonadati; Pseudomonadota; Alphaproteobacteria.